Helianthus annuus (common sunflower) is the source of this 102-nucleotide non-coding RNA. NCBI's taxonomy places the organism in Eukaryota, Viridiplantae, Streptophyta, Magnoliopsida, Asterales, Asteraceae. The record is from Rfam.
GGAUAAUGACGACUCCAUGUGAUAAGGUCUCGUUCGACGUAAUGGUGAUUAACAGUCACCUUGCCGACCAUCCUGUUAUAUCACCACCCAUAAACUGAAUCC